RNAcentral lists this ribosomal RNA (550 nucleotides) under Enterococcus faecium. Its description in RNAcentral is "bacterial SSU rRNA". It matches the Rfam family "Bacterial small subunit ribosomal RNA", at positions 353 to 901 of the family's 1533-position model. Lineage: Bacteria; Bacillati; Bacillota; Bacilli; Lactobacillales; Enterococcaceae. The record is from RNAcentral.
AGUGAGGAAUUUUGCGCAAUGGGGGAAACCCUGACGCAGCAACGCCGCGUGAGUGAAGAAGGCCUUCGGGUCGUAAAGCUCUGUCAAGUGGGAAGAACCUUGGGUGCGAAUAGCCGUGCACUGACGGUACCUCCGAAGGAAGCACCGGCUAACUCCGUGCCAGCAGCCGCGGUAAUACGGAGGGUGCAAGCGUUGUCCGGAAUUACUGGGCGUAAAGCGUGCGUAGGCGGUUGCGUGCGUCGGUGCUGAAAGCGCCCCGCUUAACGGGGCGAGGCGUGCCGAUACGACGCGACUCGAGGCAGUGAGAGGUUGGUGGAAUUCCGGGUGUAGUUGUGAAAUGCGUAGAUACCCGGAGGAAUGUCGGUGGCGCAAGCGGCCAACUGGCACUGACCUGACGCUGAGGCACGAAAGCGUGGGGAGCGAACAGGAUUAGAUACCCUGGUAGUCCACGCUGUAAACGAUGUAUGCUAGUUGUUGGUCCUUUAGGGCCAGUGACGCAGUUAACGCAGUAAGCAUACCACCUGGGGAGUACGUCGGCAACGAUGAAACU